RNAcentral lists this transfer-messenger RNA (364 nucleotides) under Paenibacillaceae. Its description in RNAcentral is "Paenibacillus_A ihumii Standard tmRNA". It matches the Rfam family "transfer-messenger RNA". Rfam says of the family: Bacterial tmRNA, also known as 10Sa RNA or SsrA, is named for its dual tRNA and mRNA-like properties. Its role is to liberate the mRNA from a stalled ribosome. RNAcentral also lists the same sequence under 1 other name. Lineage: Bacteria; Bacillati; Bacillota; Bacilli; Caryophanales. The record is from RNAcentral.
GGGGGCGUUUUUGGAUUCGACGGGGGUAGAUCGAGCAUAGGUAGCGGGUAGUGGGGACGCGUCCGCUUUAUCAACGCUAAAGCCAAUUAAACGGCAAACAACAAACAAACUACGCUCUCGCAGCUUAAUAACCUGCAGACGUGCUCUCGCUCUGUAUCGCCCAUGUACCGGGAUGAGGGCUCAACUUUAGUGGGAUACGCUGUCUAGUCUCCGCCUGCGGCUAGCUGAAGAAGACAAACAGGCUGACCCGAAGGGAAUCCGGUGACAGGGAGUCUCUAGGGUGACAUCAAAACUGUCACUACACCCGUAGAAGCUUAUGUGGCGUUGCCUUCGGACAGGGGUUCGACUCCCCUCGCCUCCACCA